UACAGAGGUCUCAAGCGUUGUUCGGAUUCAUUGGGCGUAAAGGGUGCGUAGGUGGCGCGGUAAGUCGGGUGUGAAAUCUCGGAGCUUAACUCCGAAAGUGCAUUCGAUACUGCCGUGCUCGAGGACUGGAGAGGAGACUGGAAUUCCUGGUGUAGCGGUGAAAUGCGCAGAUAUCAGGGGGAACACCGGUGGCGAAGGCGGGUCUCUGGGCCGAUACUGACGCUGAGGAGCGAAAGCGUGGGGAGCGAACAGG
This 253-nucleotide ribosomal RNA is filed under the name uncultured bacterium. RNAcentral's name for it is "partial 16S ribosomal RNA". It matches the Rfam family "Bacterial small subunit ribosomal RNA", at positions 524 to 776 of the family's 1533-position model. The record is from RNAcentral.